GACGAACGCUGGCGGCGCGCCUAACACAUGCAAGUCGAACGGAGCUGCGAGAAGCUUGCUUUUCUUAGCUUAGUGGCGAACGGGUGAGUAACGCGUGAGUAACCUGCCCUGGAGUGGGGGACAACAGUUGGAAACGACUGCUAAUACCGCAUAAGCCCACGAUCCGGCAUCGGAUUGAGGGAAAAGGAUUUAUUCGCUUCAGGAUGGACUCGCGUCCAAUUAGCUAGUUGGUGAGGUAACGGCCCACCAAGGCGACGAUUGGUAGCCGGACUGAGAGGUUGAACGGCCACAUUGGGACUGAGACACGGCCCAGGCUCCUACGGGAGGCAGCAGUGGGGGAUAUUGCACAAUGGGGGAAACCCUGAUGCAGCGACGCCGCGUGGAGGAAGAAGGUUUUCGGAUUGUAAACUCCUGUCGUUAGGGACGAUAAUGACGGUACCUAACAAGAAAGCACCGGCUAACUACGUG
Molecule: ribosomal RNA, 468 nt
Filed under: uncultured bacterium
Lineage: Bacteria
Description: partial 16S ribosomal RNA
Rfam family: Bacterial small subunit ribosomal RNA
Source: RNAcentral